UCCGUAGGCGGGCUAAUAAGUCAGGGGUGAAAUCCCACAGCUUAACUGUGGAACUGCCUUUGAUACUGUUAGUCUUGAGUUAUAUGGAAGUAGAUAGAAUGUGUAGUGUAGCGGUGAAAUACAUAGAUAUUACACAGAAUACCGAUUGCGAAGGCAGUCUACUACGUAUAUACUGACGCUAAUGGACGAAAGCGUGGGGAGCGAACAGGAUUAGAUACCCUGGUAGUCC
This 229-nucleotide ribosomal RNA is filed under the name uncultured bacterium. RNAcentral describes it as "partial 16S ribosomal RNA". It matches the Rfam family "Bacterial small subunit ribosomal RNA", at positions 568 to 796 of the family's 1533-position model. The record is from RNAcentral.